CGGGGGGAGCAAGCGUUGUUCGGAAUCACUGGGCGUAAAGGGAGUCUAGGCGGUUUGGUAAGUGGGAUGUGAAAUCCCCGGGCUCACCCCGGGGCCUGCAUCCCAAACUGCUGAGCUUGAGUACAGGAGAGGGUGGGGGAAUUCCAGGUGUAGCGGUGAAAUGCGUAGAUAUCUGGAGGAACACCGGUGGCGAAGGCGCCCACCUGGCCUGCUACUGACGCUGAAGCUCGAAAGCUAGGGGAGCAAACGGGAUUAGAUACCCCGGUAGUCCUAGCCGUAAACGGUGAUCACUAGGUGUUGGGAGCAUCGACCCUUCCAGUGCCGCAGCUAACGCAUUAAGUGAUCCGCCUGGGGAUACGGCCGCAAGGUUG
This 371-nucleotide ribosomal RNA is filed under the name uncultured organism. RNAcentral describes it as "bacterial SSU rRNA". It matches the Rfam family "Bacterial small subunit ribosomal RNA", at positions 526 to 896 of the family's 1533-position model. The record is from RNAcentral.